Hemicordylus capensis (graceful crag lizard) is the source of this 451-nucleotide long non-coding RNA. RefSeq lists it as uncharacterized. NCBI's taxonomy places the organism in Eukaryota, Metazoa, Chordata, Lepidosauria, Squamata, Cordylidae. The transcript has 2 exons. The record is from RefSeq and is a predicted model, not a curated record.
CAGCUAUAAACAUAAGGUUUGGACAAUACAGUCAUCCCUUGCCCACUGUGGGUUUCCCAAUCACGGUUUUGAGUAUCCACGACUGGGAAAUCGUGGCAGGUCUCACCAACCACGGCUUGAUUAUCUGCAAUUUGAGCAUGGAAAUGGAAGGAACCAGACUUUCGUCUCUGCCGUUCGUCUCUCUACUAUAGAAGCUGUUCCUUGAAGUACUUUCAAGAAAGCAAGAACUUCAUUAUGUACAGAGUGCCAAGUAGCAGUCAAGCAUGAACCUCAGUGAUUACUCUUUCUACAUGUUUAUGAACGCUUCAGGGAUCUGUGGCUAAACCUAUUGAGUCCCUUCCCCCUCUCUUAGAUCCUUCUUUUCUUUAGCUUCACACAACAAUUUCAGGCAUUUUAAAUUAAUGUUUAUUGUGACACAUGGAGCAAGGUGAAUAAAUGGUCUGGAACAAUG